AGGAGAGGACGCACCCAAAAAUCUGAGACGACCCACAUGCGGGGUCUCUCUCCGUACGUUACCUGAAUGAGCAAGAGAGGGGAGUCGAGGACGGCGGAGGAGCCGGGGACGUCGAAGAGCAGCUCCUCCAGGCAGGGGAAGGGAGGCUGGAGGG
This is a long non-coding RNA of Rhodamnia argentea, 154 nucleotides long. RefSeq lists it as uncharacterized. The record is from RefSeq and is a predicted model, not a curated record. The transcript has 3 exons. NCBI's taxonomy places the organism in Eukaryota, Viridiplantae, Streptophyta, Magnoliopsida, Myrtales, Myrtaceae.